This 497-nucleotide ribosomal RNA is filed under the name uncultured bacterium. RNAcentral describes it as "partial 16S ribosomal RNA". It matches the Rfam family "Bacterial small subunit ribosomal RNA", at positions 28 to 507 of the family's 1533-position model. The record is from RNAcentral.
GAUGAACGCUGGCGGCGUGCCUAAUACAUGCAAGUCGAGCGAACAGAUGAGGAGCUUGCUCCUCUGGCGUUAGCGGCGGACGGGUGAGUAACACGUGGAUAACCUACCUAUAAGACUGGGAUAACUUCGGGAAACCGGAGCUAAUACCGGAUAAUAUAUUGAACCGCAUGGUUCAAUAGUGAAAGACGGUUUUGCUGUCACUUAUAGAUGGAUCCGCGCCGCAUUAGCUAGUUGGUAAGGUAACGGCUUACCAAGGCAACGAUGCGUAGCCGACCUGAGAGGGUGAUCGGCCAGACUGGAACUGAGACACGGUCCAGACUCCUACGGGAGGCAGCAGCAGGGAAUCUUCCGCAAUGGGCGAAAGCCUGACGGAGCAACGCCGCGUGAGUGAUGAAGGUCUUCGGAUCGUAAAACUCUGUUAUUAGGGAAGAACAAAUGUGUAAGUAACUAGGCACGUCUUGACGGUACCUAAUCAGAAAGCCACGGCUAACUACGUG